UAGCCUUGACAUAUAUUAGAAUCCGACAGAGAUGUUGGAGUGCCUUCGGGAGCUUUUAUAC
RNAcentral lists this ribosomal RNA (61 nucleotides) under uncultured bacterium. RNAcentral's name for it is "partial 16S ribosomal RNA". The record is from RNAcentral.